Molecule: long non-coding RNA, 2034 nt
Filed under: Equus asinus (donkey)
Lineage: Eukaryota; Metazoa; Chordata; Mammalia; Perissodactyla; Equidae
Description: lncRNA (ENSEASG00005038511.1)
Source: RNAcentral
CUAUUAAAACAGCAGCCAUUUCUGAUCUUUAUUUACUAAAUGAAAACACAAAUGGCAGCCGCGGAUUUUUGGCUUGGUGCCAGGGAGGCAGCGUCGGGGGAUGGGGCCGCGUUAAGCUCUGAUCUGAGAAGCCGGCAGUCAAAGCGGUCCAUGUAGACGAUGUCGAAGGGCACGACUUUCAGCGUGGGCUGGGCUUCGAGUCCCAAAGCCAAGCCUUUCUCAGUAAUUACUCCCAAACUCUACUACCUGAAGUCCAAUUUAGGUUCUUUAGCAGAAGGAUUUUAGUUUGUUUCCAAGAAUGAGAAACUUUGUGUCUGCCAGUGAUGAAGGGACUGGUUUAGAACAUCUUAUGGUCAGAACGUUUCAAAGAUUAUCAUCUACUGCAACUUCUCGCCAAGGGCAAGAAUCUCUCUUGAAACAUCUGACAAUUGACGCUGUAGGAGUUCACCAUCGCACGUGUUCAGGUGGUGAUGCCCUCCUACAGUGGGCUGUCAAGGACUGAAUACAAGGCUCCAAGCCUUACCCGAUCAGUGCAAAGUCAAUGUCAACCAAAAGACCCUGCCACCCAAAGGCCAUCCUCCCAGCUGGGGACUGCACUGCGCCCACCCACUGUUCUCUUGCAAGGUUUCAUCUGUUUGAAAAGAACAUUAGAAUACUCUCAAUGUUUUUUUAAAAACCUACCACCCUUUCUUAGGAACAAGAAAGCCCCUUUUGAUGAAGAGUUAGUUAUCGCAUCUGAGUAUAUUUUAUUUAGCAUUUCUGACAUAUUUCCCUUAUUUUAUUUAGCAUUUCUGACAUAUUUCCCUUAGUUGUUAACUAAUUUGCAUCCUAUAAAACAUUUUUACGAAUGUCACAAGAACUGUCACAAUAACCCCAAGAGACAGGCAAGGUCAAGGUUGUUACCCCCAUUUCAUUAUUGAGGAAACAAGACCUACAGAGGCAGUGACUUAGGGAAAGCCGUGCAGAGUUGGAAUUUGAAGCCCAGUUCUUUGACUGUAGGUUCACACCUUGUUUUUACUAUACCACAGCUGGGUCUCUUUGGCAGAUAAUUGGGUUGAAAGGGAACAACUGAAUUUCUGGAGCCACAGAACAAGGCCUUCGUUCCUCCACUCUGUCGACAUGAGUUGUUCUUCUGGGGCCUUCAUCCUCUGUCAUUCGUCCAGUGAGGCAGGUGCAUGGGAGCCCCAUCAUUGGCCUGAAGCUGUAAAAUACAAGAUUCACCCACAGGUGUAAGCCGAAUAGAGAAGAUGACUUUCUGAAACUGAAGGAAGUUGGAAGGAGAGGUGAGGGCUAACACGAGCAUCUCUGCAGUGAAAGGCAGGGCGAGAGGAACCUUCCCUAUUCUCACUGAUAGACACUGAAGAGAGGCCACCAUGUGAUAAAGGAACAACCUUUGCCAUCAUCUCCUUGUUGAAAUUGAAGAAACGAAAUGAGCGCUGACGGAGGUGGGUGAUGUCACGUUGUCAUCUGCCAUCCCUGAAAUACCACUUCCUCUUCGUGGGGGCAUGAGGACCCAACGCAGAAACGCAGCUCGGUCAUCCCAUGAGGGGAUGUCAGCUCUUCAGAUGCUCCCUUUUGAUGGAAGGGUGUCGUUGGCAAACACCCGGCUACCUGCUCUUCGGGGGGAAAUGAACCUAAGAUGCGGAAAUAAAUACGUAAGACCAGCAUAAGCACUAUUAAAUUCCAGACAAGUUAUCUAAAGGACCCGACACAUUACACGCUUCUUCCAUCACCACCACACCCCCAUACACUUCAAUUCAACUCUACAAAAAUAAAUUCUGUGUGUCACACUUAUGCUGGGCAUCGUUCUAGAUGCUGUGGGAAGUCACGGUGGGGCAAACGCCAAGAUCUGUCUGAUAUAAUAAUGCCCUCAAGAAACUUUAUGAUUUAGUAGGAAGAUAGAAGUAUUCUAAAGUCAUUGAUAAUCUAUAAAAUAAUGCAAAAUUAACUAGUAAAGACUAAGCAGAAAGCUGUGGGACACUGAGGGCAGAAUCUCCCAGGUGAAGGGAAUUAACAGUUUUUUAAGCAGCCAGC